UCCACGUGAUGGAGGGGUGGUCUUGGGAAGGAGAGGCAGUCAGGGUCCUUGAGUUCUGGCCCUGGGUGUGAUUGGAGGAAAGGGCUCAACCAUCCUGGGGGCCUCAAGGGUUGGACCAGGUGGUGUCCUUGGGACUAGGAGGAUCAGAGUGGGCUGGUGGGAAACAGGAAGUCUUUGAGCUGAGACUGCUCUGCCUUCCCUGGAGCUCAGAUUCUCUCCUUUUUCCUUUUGACCUGAGUUCUCUCUGCCUUCCCUGGGACCUAAGAUCGCUCUGCCUUCCAGAAGCCCACUCUGUGCAUGCAGAUCCCAGGUUGGAGUCCUUUCCCUGAGGGCAAGGCCUGGGUCUUCCUAACUCCUAUGGGACCUUGCCCUCUGUAAAUUCCAGUUGGGCAGCCUCCUGCCUAUGAAGAGAGGAGAAAGAGCUCUUCUCUGGGAUCCUUCUCCCUCCCCAGCUCAGUCUGCAGAGGAACAAAACCUACCCCAAGAAGGGAGCCUGGAUUGAGAGAGAAUGGCUCCUGGGAGCAGCCAAGCCCCAGCCCAGCUCGUCAGUGUUCAGACGGAGAGACCAGGCUGGAGGGCCCCUCACCAUCCACCAGGAGACUGUUUGGAUCCAGGGUAAAGUUCUGUAGCUGGGUGCCAUCAUGGGCAGUCUGAGGACCUCUUGGUACGCAGAAGCCCUGUCAAAGUUCCGGGCCUGAGCGGCUGAUGUGAAGUCACAUGAGCAGUCCACUUCUGUGAGGCGUCUGGGAGAGAGGAGCCUAAAGAAGAAGAGGGCAGGGUGUGGGUGAAUGAGAGAGGAAGAAGGCAGGUAGAGAGGAGAGGACAGGAGCAGUGAUGGCCUCAGGGGAGCUGGGGCAUGCUGAGCAGCCUUCUGGCCCUGGCAGGAAAACCUGCACCUCCCCACCAAAACUAGACUUCUUACGUGUUUUGUGAAUACAUGCAUCUAGAUGGGCUCCUUGAGGACACGGAUGGCUUUAUUCUUUGUAUCUUUUGCCCUGUGCCUGACACUUCGAGUAUGCUGCUUAAAACCUUAUUGAAAGGCUGAUUGCUUCUAUAUGUGUGUAGAUUUACAUGUUGUCUCUCUAUGUUCCCCAGCACGUGUCCCACUGCUUGGGACAUCGUGGGAUGUUUAUAAAUGCUUGUUGUUUGGUUGAUUAA
Molecule: long non-coding RNA, 1158 nt
Organism: Vombatus ursinus (common wombat)
Lineage: Eukaryota; Metazoa; Chordata; Mammalia; Diprotodontia; Vombatidae
Exons: 4
Source: RefSeq, a predicted model, not a curated record